CAGUAGCCACGGUAAUACGAAGGGUGCAAGCGUUAAUCGGAAUUACUGGGCGUAAAGCGUGCGUAGGCGGUGAGUUAAGUCUGCUGUGAAAUCCCCGGGCUCAACCUGGGAAUGGCAGUGGAUACUGGCUCGCUAGAGUGUGUCAGAGGAUGGUGGAAUUCCCGGUGUAGCGGUGAAAUGCGUAGAGAUCGGGAGGAACAUCAGUGGCGAAGGCGGCCAUCUGGGACAACACUGACGCUGAGGCACGAAAGCGUGGGGAGCAAACAGGAUUAGAUACCCCCGUAGUCCCUGUCUCUUAUAU
RNAcentral lists this ribosomal RNA (301 nucleotides) under uncultured bacterium. Its description in RNAcentral is "partial 16S ribosomal RNA". It matches the Rfam family "Bacterial small subunit ribosomal RNA", at positions 509 to 809 of the family's 1533-position model. The record is from RNAcentral.